UACGAAGGGGGCUAGCGUUGCUCGGAAUCACUGGGCGUAAAGGGCGCGUAGGCGGCUGAACAAGUCAAAGGUGAAAUCCCUCGGCUCAACUGAGGAACUGCCUUUGAAACUGUUCGGCUUGAGGCCGGGAGGGGGUAGCGGAAUUCCCAGUGUAGCGGUGAAAUGCGUAGAUAUUGGGAGGAACACCAGUGGCGAAGGCGGCUACCUGGACCGGUUCUGACGCUGAGGCGCGAAAGCGUGGGUAGCAAACAGG
Molecule: ribosomal RNA, 253 nt
Filed under: uncultured bacterium
Lineage: Bacteria
Description: partial 16S ribosomal RNA
Rfam family: Bacterial small subunit ribosomal RNA
Source: RNAcentral